This 253-nucleotide ribosomal RNA is filed under the name uncultured bacterium. RNAcentral describes it as "partial 16S ribosomal RNA". It matches the Rfam family "Bacterial small subunit ribosomal RNA", at positions 524 to 776 of the family's 1533-position model. The record is from RNAcentral.
UACGGAGGGUGCGAGCGUUAAUCGGAAUUACUGGGCGUAAAGCGCGCGUAGGCGGUUUGGUAAGUCGGAUGUGAAAGCCCCGAGCUUAACUUGGGAACUGCAUUCGAUACUGCUUUACUUGAGUGUGGUAGAGGGUGGUGGAAUUCCUGGUGUAGCGGUGAAAUGCGUAGAUAUCAGGAGGAACAUCAGUGGCGAAGGCGGCCACCUGGACCAACACUGACGCUGAGGUGCGAAAGCGUGGGUAGCAAACAGG